RNAcentral lists this ribosomal RNA (492 nucleotides) under uncultured bacterium. Its description in RNAcentral is "partial 16S ribosomal RNA". It matches the Rfam family "Bacterial small subunit ribosomal RNA", at positions 30 to 507 of the family's 1533-position model. The record is from RNAcentral.
AUUGAACGCUGGCGGCAUGCUUUACACAUGCAAGUCGAACGGUAACAGGCCUUCGGGUGCUGACGAGUGGCGAACGGGUGAGUAAUGCAUCGGAACGUGCCCAGAGGUGGGGGAUAACGCAGCGAAAGCUGUGCUAAUACCGCAUGUGAUCUGAGGAUGAAAGCGGGGGACCAGGCAGCAAUGUUUGGCCUCGCGCCUUUGGAGCGGCCGAUGUCAGAUUAGGUAGUUGGUGGGGUAAAGGCCUACCAAGCCGACGAUCUGUAGCUGGUCUGAGAGGACGACCAGCUACACUGGGACUGAGACACGGCCCAGACUCCUACGGGAGGCAGCAGUGGGGAAUUUUGGACAAUGGGCGCAAGCCUGAUCCAGCAAUGCCGCGUGCGGGAAGAAGGCCUUCGGGUUGUAAACCGCUUUUGUACGGAACGAAAAGGCUCUGGCUAAUACCUGGGGCUGAUGACGGUACCGUAAGAAUAAGCACCGGCUAACUACGUG